UAAGAUCCCUCAAAGAUGAUGAGGUUAAUAGGUUCGAGGUGGAAGCAUGGUGACAUGUGGAGCUGACGAAUACUAAUCGAUCGAAGACUUAAUCAA
Molecule: ribosomal RNA, 96 nt
Filed under: Staphylococcus aureus
Lineage: Bacteria; Bacillati; Bacillota; Bacilli; Caryophanales; Staphylococcaceae
Also listed under: 1 other name
Description: partial 23S ribosomal RNA
Rfam family: Bacterial large subunit ribosomal RNA
Source: RNAcentral